UGGGGAAUAUUGGACAAUGGGCGAAAGCCUGAUCCAGCAAUGCCGCGUGGGUGAAGAAGGUCUUCGGAUCGUAAAGCCCUUUCGACGGGGACGAUGAUGACGGUACCCGUAGAAGAAGCCCCGGCUAACUUCGUGCCAGCAGCCGCGGUAAUACGAAGGGGGCUAGCGUUGCUCGGAAUUACUGGGCGUAAAGGGCGCGUAGGCGGCGGCCCAAGUCAGGCGUGAAAUUCCUGGGCUCAACCUGGGGACUGCGCUUGAUACUGGGUUGCUUGAGGAUGGAAGAGGCUCGUGGAAUUCCAGUGUAGAGGUGAAAUUCGUAGAUAUUGGGAAGAACACCGGUGGCGAAGGCGGCGAGCUGGUCCAUUACUGACGCUGAGGCGCGACAGCGUGGGGAGCAAACAGG
This 403-nucleotide ribosomal RNA is filed under the name Acidobacteriota bacterium. RNAcentral describes it as "Acidobacteria bacterium partial 16S ribosomal RNA". It matches the Rfam family "Bacterial small subunit ribosomal RNA", at positions 355 to 776 of the family's 1533-position model. The record is from RNAcentral. Lineage: Bacteria; Pseudomonadati; Acidobacteriota.